GCCGCGGUAGCUCAGUGGUAGAGCGAAGGUCUGAAGAACCUUGCGUCGGGUGUUCGAUUCACCCCCGCGGCA
This 72-nucleotide transfer RNA is filed under the name Candidatus Wolfebacteria bacterium RIFCSPLOWO2_01_FULL_38_11. RNAcentral's name for it is "tRNA-Phe". It matches the Rfam family "tRNA". Rfam says of the family: Transfer RNA (tRNA) molecules are approximately 80 nucleotides in length. Their secondary structure includes four short double-helical elements and three loops (D, anti-codon, and T loops). The record is from RNAcentral. Lineage: Bacteria; Candidatus Wolfeibacteriota.